Long non-coding RNA from Clupea harengus (Atlantic herring), 1477 nucleotides. NCBI's taxonomy places the organism in Eukaryota, Metazoa, Chordata, Actinopteri, Clupeiformes, Clupeidae. The record is from Ensembl.
ACAACGUCGACCUGUCAGUCUUACUUGUGAACCUGACGCACUUCUUUGAUCUCAGACCAUUCAGGGCUCAGGUCUGGUGAUGUAGGGAGCUUAUUUCUCAGACGGGGUGAGCUGAGGUCCAGCGAUUCAGCAGCCUAACACACACACACACACACACACACACACACACACACACACACACUGUGCGUGGUGCUCCAGAAGGAGGCAGGAAUGCACACAGUUAAACCUCUGGUGGGGAGUUGUCCUACCUCUCUCACUGAUAAGCUCCAGGUACUUAAUGAGGGAGCUGUGAUGUGGAAUUUAUAUUUAUUUAUAGUUAGUUAUCACACCUUAUCUAAUACGACAUUUCAAAAAAUCAUGGUGAAAUUAAAACAUAGCUCUUUUUCUUCACUUGGUUUAUCAAUCAGCUGUUUAUAUGUGUUGUUUUCUAACUAAAUGUGGCUGCCAAAUCAAUGUAAACAGACUUCAAGACUAUAUUAGCACUUUGACUAUCUGUGACACUAAAGUCUUUCCUAAUACUUUGCUCUUUAACUCACUUAUUUCCCCAGAGAAAUGUAAGAGUCUGGGUAUCUAGGGACUAGAAGCUUGUGUCUUGGUCCUGUCUGUGGAGGUGUUUGGGGACUAGAGGCUUGUGUCUUGGUCCUGUCUGUGGAGGUGUUUUGGGACUAGAGGCCUGUGUCUUGGUCCUGUCUGUGGAGGUGUUUUGGGACUAGAGGCCUGUGUCUUGGUCCUGUCUGUGGAGGUGUUUGGGCUCUGGGUGUUUGGGUGUUUGGGGACUAGAGGCCUGUGUCUUGGUCUUGUCUGUGGAGGUGUUUGGGGACUAGAGGCUUGUGUCUUGGUCCUGUCUGUGGAGGUGUUUGGGUUGCUGGUGCUUUGGGAGGGGUUUACUGUGUGCAAUCCCUGAAGAAGGGUGCGGUUAGUGUUAAGUAAGAGAUGUGAUCAUACUCCUGGGCACUGGGCCAGGGAUGGAUGAAAUUCGCCUGUCCUCUCUGAGGCCAGUGAUGGACGGACACACACACACACACACACACACACACUUCGGUGGGCUCUUCCAAGCCUGUUAUCCUGCAGGAAAUUCCUCCUUUACUCCCGUCCUUGGGGGAGUUGUUGCAUAUUUGUAGAAGGAGGGAGAGAGACAGAAAGAAAGAGACAGAGGGAGAGAAUGAGAGAAUGAGGGAGGGAAAGGAUGGAAGCGGAGAAAGAGAGAGAUAGGUAGAAGGAAGAUAUAGAUAGAUAGGGAGAGAGAGAAGGAAGCAAGGAGGGAGGGGAAAGAGAGAGAGAGAGGGAGAAGGGAGAGAGAGAAGGGAGAGCAAGAGAAGGAGGGAGAGGGGUAAUUUGCUAGCGGAAGAGUACGUAAGUGUACACACACCAGAGAGGGGGAUACGCAAGAGGGGUUUUCAGAUGGCAAUUGUGUAAUAGCAACUUAGAAAAAAAAAAACAACAGGAAAAAUAGCAGGACAGAGAUGUUGAGAGGGAG